CGUUCGUUUGUUCUUACAUUUGUCGAGCAAUAAUAAACAAAAACAGCCAAAUCAUUAUGACAAUUAAAUAAAUUAUCUAUAGUUUGGUUCAAAUUAACUUAUUCAAUGUUCUUUUUUCUUUCAUUGACGGUAUUCUCGUGAUGAUAAACCUCAGGCUGACAUUCCUUCAUUUACAGUAUCUCAGGCUGAGUUUUCAUGUUUCAAAGUCGCGCGCAAUUGGCACCAUCUGUUGGAUGGCACUAUCUCCAUGGCACCGGGCAUCAAGCUCGAGAUUCCUGUGCCAGUCAAUCUUUAUUGUUACAGCUUGCAAGUGCGCAGGCGCAGACCCGCGGAGCGCGGAGCCUGCAGAACUGCGAGCGCUCUGUUGGAUGGCACUAUCUCCAUGGCACCGGGCAUCAAGCUCGAGAUUCCUGUGCCAGUCAAUCUUUAUUGUUACAGCUUGCAAGUGCGCAGGCGCAGACCCGCGGAGCGCGGAGCCUGCAGAACUGCGAGCGCUCUGUGGCUCACUUCCAUCAUUUUAGCUGAAACCCAAAAAUACCCCAGGCUUUAAAUUGCACUUGGCAGGAUGGUUGAACGGGGCGUAAUAAGCCAAGCUAUCAAAAGUCUUCAUUAUUGUCAGUUAUGUAAUAUCCAAAAAUGAUCCAAUCUCUUAGCAUAAUUCAGUCAAGAGUUUAAAGUGUCCAAGCAAUUUGUUUUUCAUAUACCGCCUGCAUCGUCAUACGCAGCAUAUCAAAAUAAUGAAGCCUUUCACGAGUACAGCUGUCGAAUUGAUGUAGGUGUUUCUGAGGCUUUGUGUCUCUGUCCCUCAUUUAUCCAGCUCCUCCUUGUAGGUCUUCUCUUUUGUUUGGGGACAAGUGGAGUUUGUUUGAGUUUUGCCAGCCCACUUAGAGCAAUCGAGACGCACAGAUGGUGGCAAACAAAGUCAACUUUUAUAAGGCUUUAAGAAACCAUCAUAGGAAGUUUUAUAAAAUAUUCACAAUAUUGGCGUUAUUUAGAUCCCGACAUAAUCAUUUUGACGUCGAGCAAGCGUAUACUGAUAUUAUCAAGAUUGCGCGCAACACUUUCCUCCUUCUGUUCAUGAAUUAUAACAUUCCGCUAGUAACUGUAAGUGUUAAAUUAACUUUUUGCUCUCUUAAGCUGACAUUACCUUCAUCUACAGUAACUCUGACUGAGUUUCCCUGUUUCUAAAUCGCGCGCAAUUGGCACCAUCUGUUGGAUGAGACUAUCUCCAUGGCACCGGGCAUCGAGCUUAAGAUUCCUGUGCCAGUCAAUUUUUAUUGUUACAGCUUGCAAGUGCGCAGGCGCAGACCCGGGGAGCGCGGAGCCUGCAGAACUGCGAGCGCUCUGUGGUACAAAGGACCCAUAACAGUCAGGCACGGUGCAGCGUUACCAUGAUCUUCUCCAUCCCACCGAUAGAUUCCCAUCCCGCCUGCAUCACUUUAACGACCAGCUUCCACCAAGUCCGCGAGCCUGACCGACGUUGCCCGGACGCAGAAUGCACGGGGGAAAAAGAGGACUGGUGGCACCACAGAACACUUUUUUGGAAAAUAUUGUUCGUCGCUCAAGUGAGACAAGUUUCUUGUUGGGGAAUGCGCAAAUCGUGGAGUGGCCUAUAGUUUACAGUAAUGACGGAUUCUGCAAACUCUCUGGUUACCACAGGGCAGAGGUCAUGCAGAAGAGCAGCACCUGCAGUUUCAUGUACGGCGAGCUGACAGACAAGAAGACAAUAGACAAAGUCAGACAGACCUUUGAUAACUAUGAAUCCAAUUGCUUUGAAGUGCUGCUGUAUAAGAAGAACAGAACCCCUGUGUGGCUCUACAUGCAGGUGGCCCCCAUCAGGAAUGAGAAUGAUAAGGUGGUCCUGUUCCUCUGCACUUUUAAGGAUAUCACUGUCUUCAAGCAGCCCAUUGAAGAUGAGACCACCAGAGGAUGGACCAAGUUUGCCAGGCUAACCAGGGCGUUAACCAAUAGCCGUGGUACACUUCAGCAGCUCACGCCUAUGAACAAGACUGAGGUCAGCCACAAGCAUUCACGACUGGCAGAGGCACUUCAGUUGGGCUCUGACAUCCUCCCUCAAUACAAGCAAGAGGCUCCUAAAACUCCACCUCACAUUAUAUUGCACUACUGCACCUUUAAGACCACUUGGGACUGGGUCAUCCUCAUCCUCACCUUCUACACGGCCAUCAUGGUGCCCUAUAAUGUGUCAUUUAAGACCAAACAGAACAACCUGGUAUGGUUGGUACUGGACAGCGUGGUGGAUGUCAUCUUUCUAGUGGAUAUUGUAUUGAACUUUCAUACAACUUUUGUGGGACCUGGAGGAGAGGUCAUAUCGGACCCAAAGCUCAUACGUAUGAACUACUUGAAGACCUGGUUUGUCAUAGACCUGCUGUCUUGCCUGCCCUAUGACAUCAUCAAUGCCUUUGAAAACGUGGAUGAGGAUCCCAUUGCAGACUCUUCUGCGGUGGGCCACAUGCCAGCUGCGGCCCACUCUCCACGCAACGCCACACGUGCGGAGGACUCGGUGUUGCCUGGUCUCAGCAGCCUGUUCAGCUCAUUGAAAGUGGUGCGUUUACUCCGCCUGGGUCGAGUGGCACGCAAACUGGACCACUAUCUGGAAUACGGUGCUGCUGUAUUAGUUUUACUGGUGUGUGUCUUUGGCCUGGUGGCACAUUGGCUGGCCUGCAUCUGGUACAGCAUUGGUGAUUACGAGGUCAUCGAUGAGGCCACCAACAGCAUCAAGACGGACAGCUGGCUUUAUCAAUUAGCUAUCAGUAUUGGCACGCCGUACCGCUACAAUGCCAGCGGCUCUGGCCAGUGGGAGGGUGGUCCCAGUAAGCACACGCUCUACAUAUCAUCUCUCUAUUUCACCAUGACAAGUCUCACCACCAUUGGCUUUGGGAACAUUGCACCAACUACAGACGGGGAGAAGAUCUUCUCUGUGGCCAUGAUGAUGGUGGGCUCUCUUCUGUACGCCACUAUCUUUGGAAACGUGACCACCAUCUUUCAGCAGAUGUACACGAACACCAAUCGCUACCAUGAGAUGCUGAACAAUGUGAGAGACUUCUUGAAGCUCUAUCAGGUGCCUAAAGGACUGAGCGAGAGAGUUAUGGACUACAUUGUGUCCACAUGGGCCAUGACCAAAGGCAUAGACACAGAGAAGGUUCUGUCCAUCUGUCCUAAGGACAUGCGUGCAGACAUCUGUGUGCACCUGAACCGCCAGGUUUUCAACGAGCACCCUGCCUUCCGGCUGGCCAGUGACGGCUGUCUGCGUUCUUUGGCGGUAGAGUUCCAGACCACACACUGCGCUCCAGGAGAUCUUAUUUUCCACGCAGGGGAGAGUGUGGACACUCUUUGCUUCGUGGUGUCUGGAUCGCUGGAGGUCAUUCAGGAUGAUGAGGUUAUUGCCAUUUUAGGUAAGGGCGAUGUGUUUGGUGACGUGUUCUGGAAGGAAUCCACGCUGGCACACGCUUGUGCUAAUGUGAGGGCUCUGACAUACUGUGACCUGCAUGUCAUCAGGAGGGACGCGUUACUCAAAGUGCUGGAGUUCUACACAGCCUUCGCCAACUCCUUCUCCCGAAAUCUCAUCCUCACCUGCAACCUCCGCAAGCGGAUUGUUUUCCGCAAGAUUGUUGAUGUGAAGAAAGAGGAAGAAGAGAGGAGACACCAGAAAAACGAGGUGACAUUGUCUAUCCCCGUGGACCAUCCUGUCCGCAAACUUUUCCAAAAAUUUAAGCAGCAGAAGGAGAUGCGUACGCAAGGUUCUUCACAACAUGACCUAGAGAGGAACCAGUUUCAGGUGGAACAUCACCUCCAUCCACUGUCCCACCAGCUUCAUCAGCAGCAAUAUCAGCCACAGUACCAGGGCCACCAUCCCCUUCAACACCAACAUGUGACCACCAUGCAAAACGGGGCCCCUGGCUCAGGAAACGGGAACAGUGGUUCUAGCGUUGUAACAGUCUCACAGAUAACCCCGAUCCAGAACGCUCUAGCCUACGUUCAGACCGAGGAACCCAACAGGAGUGAAGACAAUGAGGCUAUGGAGCUCAAGCCCAGCUUUGGCAUACAGGACUCGAAUUGUCUAAAAGUAACAAGUCCUGUGAGACCCAGAGGAGGAAGGGGACGAGGCUGGAUGCGUUUCCAUAACAUUGCAUCAGGAUCAUCGCCCAUGCUUUCACUGGAACUAGAGAAGAAGCCACAGCAGAAAGAAGAGGAGUGGGGGGAUGUGUCCCAGCCCCUGAAUGUCAUCUCAGGGAAUGGGAAGAGCCAGGAAGCAGAGGGUGGGGGAUCUGAUGAAAGGGGUCCUGGUGGAAAUGGUAACAGUAGUGAUGAGACUGAUGAGAAUACUGUCCUACACAAGACUGAUUCUUGUGACAGCGGAAUAACAAAGAGUGACUUGCGUAUUGACCGGGUAGGUGAUUCACGAAGCCUGUACGAGAGGGCCUCGAUGGAAAGGAGCCCAUACGAUCAGCCCAGUCCCGGAGUGGGUAGCGUCACCCUUCAGGGGAUUCAAUUUCAGCCUGUCCCUGAACAGGCUGUGCUUCAAAACAGCCUGUAUGAGGCAAAGCUGGAACUAAAAGGUGACAUCCAGACAUUAAAUAGUCGGCUAGCAGCUCUGGAGGACCAGGUGGGGGAGAUUUUGAGACUUCUGUCAGAGAAGAGGAAACCUUCCCCACCUCCUCAGACCUCCUCGCCAAAAACUACACUUCAGUGCCAGGACAACUUUGCCCUUUCUCAGCCUGUCACUCCAGAGACGGAGGGGGACGAUGGACCCCUUUGAAUUAGGAGAAAUAUAUUUAGAUAUUGAUAUGCUGUUUUUAUUUAUCACUUCCCUUCCUCUUACUCAGGAAGGAAAUGUGAAUAUUGAUGAUUAGGGGAAGGAUCCUUGCUGUUGUAAAUAUAUACUUGCAUGUCCAGCUGGAAUCUGGCCUGCCAAUGAAAUCUUCUCAAUGGAUAGUAGUUGCUUGUACACGUACGGAAUCGGCUGCAUGCGGAGAUGAUUUUAUUCUGACAUUGCACACAGGAUCUUCUAACCAGCCCAGCAGAGAGGAGCACAGACAGUGAAAGGAUUAUUCUUUGAGUCUCCCAUGAAAUUGAAGAGAUGGAUAUAAUAGAUGCUAAAAGCUGUAAUAGUGUGGCAGACGACGUGAGCCUCGUAAUCGAAUGGAGCUGGCUCACUGCGUGAACCCCAGGGUGCCUGUUCCGAGGAUUACACACAGUUUUCACAAAAUUAUGAGGGUAUUCAACUCCACUGGGUAUUGAAACUUUUCGGAGUGGGGAGGGUUUGGGAUGAGGUGCCCGAUCCACACACGCUGGAGCCGAUGAGUGUUGGACUCCAGCGAGGCGUUGGUCUCUGGCAUCUGACUGCAUGCUGCAUUUUUGAACUGUAUAAAACUUAAUGCCAAUGAGAAUGAUAUUUGCCUGCCAAAGCAGUGUUUUGCUGCGACCUUUCAUGCACACACAUACACAAAAUGGGCAGAGGCCUGGGCACUAAAUCACAAAUACAAUGUAAUGCUGUUCAUUAAAAGUAUACAUGUCAAUACAGGAAGUUUUUGAUGACUAUCAAUACAUGCUGGCCGUUGUAACACAAUCAGCAGAUGGUGGGAUGAUGUUAAAAACUAAAUAAAUGAACUGAAGGAAUUUAAAGAAAAUUAAUUUAAUGCAUUUUAUUUUCACCUACAAUAGUUUAUUUAAUAACAUGAAUAUUGAUUGUCUCUCACCAAAUAUUAGCUACAGUGCCUUUAAAAAGGAUUCAUGCCAUUGGAAGUUUUUGUGUUGUAUUGUUUUACAAAAUUAAACCUUGCAUAAUCUUUUUUUUUUUUUUUUACACUACUCUUUUAUGUCAAAUGUAUACAAUGCCCAUUGGUCAGAACUUCUUACAGUUGUUAAACAAAAUUAUUGCAUGGCACAAUUUUGCCCUUAAAUUCUCAGUUUGACUGAUAUCUGGACUUUUGGAUUUGUUAAUAUGAAUCAUUAGAUUUAUACUUGAGGUCACCAUUUUGCUGGAAACUGAUUCUCCCAGAACUUCAUCAGAACUUCUCUGUAUUUUGCUGCAUUCAUUUUACCCUCCACCUUCACAAACCUGCCAGGGCCUUUUUGGAGAGAAGCAUCCCCAUGAGGGUGUGUUUCUGAUCAUGUGCAGUUUGGCUUACAACAAACAUGCCGUUUAGCCUGAUGACCAGAAAGCUCAAUUUUAGUCUCAUCAGACAACAGAACCUUCUUCCAGCUGGCUUCAGAAUCUCCCACAUGUCUUCUGGCAAACUGUAGACGAGAUGUCAUAUGCCAUUCUCUAACAGUGACUUCUCUUUGUCACUCUCCCAUAAAGCUGCGACUAAAGCUUGUCCAUUUCUUAAUUACUUAUUUUACUCCAAUGAUAUUCAGUGACUUGGAACUCUUCUUGCAUCCAUUUCCUGGCUUGUGCCUUUUUAUUACUUUUUUUUUUAAUUACAAGAGUUGCUUGGAAUAUUAGUUUUUCUUCAUGGUUUAUGUUCUACAGCCGCAGUUCUGACUCACCAAAACUUGGACUUUGCAGAUAGAUGUAUUUAAAUCAUCAGAGACUACACACAAGUGAGAGUCAUUUAACAUUAAGUAUUUAUAUGACUACUAACCAGUUGGCUGCACCAGUGAUGAUUUUGGUGAGUCACAUUUGAGAAUGAAUACUUAUAAUAUUAUUAUAUUCAUAAUUAUUUUAAUCACUUGAGAUUUGUUUAACGUUUUGAAAUUAAAGUCUUUUUUUGGUUACACUUUAAUUUGCAAUGCCGUAGUUACAUUGUAAUUACUCAAAUAAGUACUGAGUAGUAUUAACUAACUACAUGUACUCAGGGGCGUAGCAACCGGGGGGGACGGGGGGGACACGUCCCCCGCACUUUUAGAAACAGGUGAUUCUGACCCCUGCUAUUUUUUAUUUUUUUGGAUCCAGCGUGAAUAUUUCCGGCACCGGCAGUGUUCUCUGAUUUGUUACUUAGAUUUGAGUGAACUAACAUUCAGCCAAUCACAGAGCGAAUCAUCUCUUGGGCGCGUCUGCUAUGAGCUUCAAAUC
This is an RNA transcript of Megalobrama amblycephala (Wuchang bream), 7036 nucleotides long. It is a transcript of the gene named potassium voltage-gated channel, subfamily H (eag-related), member 5a, with no coding region annotated. The transcript is spliced from 13 exons. The record is from RefSeq and is a predicted model, not a curated record. Lineage: Eukaryota; Metazoa; Chordata; Actinopteri; Cypriniformes; Xenocyprididae.